GAUGAAGAACGUAGCGAAAUGCGAUAAGUAAUGUGAAUUGCAGAAUUCAGUGAAUCAUCGAAUCUUUGAACGCACAUUGCGCCCCUUGGUAUUCCGAGGGGCAUGCCUGUUCGAGCGUCAUUAUAACCCCUCAAGCUCAGCUUGGUGUUGGGGCCUGCUGCACUGGCAGCCCUUAAAAUCAGUGGCGGCGCCAUCAGGCUCUAAGCGUAGUAAUUCUUCUCGCUAUGGAGUCCUGGUGGAUGCUUGCCAUCAACCCCCAAUUUUUCUAUGGUUGACCUCGGAUCAGGUAGGGAUACCCGCUGAACUUAAGCAUAUCAAUAAGCGGAGGA
Molecule: unclassified non-coding RNA, 329 nt
Filed under: soil metagenome
Description: partial contains 5.8S ribosomal RNA, internal transcribed spacer 2, and large subunit ribosomal RNA
Rfam family: 5.8S ribosomal RNA (bases 1-120)
Source: RNAcentral